This 359-nucleotide long non-coding RNA is filed under the name Struthio camelus australis. Its description in RNAcentral is "lncRNA (ENSSCUG00000007205.1)". Lineage: Eukaryota; Metazoa; Chordata; Aves; Struthioniformes; Struthionidae. The record is from RNAcentral.
AGAAAGACUGGCACCUGCAGUGAACUUCAGAAUUUUCUUUAUUUUUCUUUUUUUGACAGGUGAGUGUGACUAUGCUGCCUGGAGAAUUUCUUGCCUGGCGCUCUCUGCAGCUUCCACCUGGCUCUGAGGUCCGUAUCCUGCCUCCAGCAGUAUCUGCACAAGCCCCUACUUUUGGAGCGGUAUGGAUCUUCUGCCAGCUUUCGGCCUCCUUCAAAUGCACGGCCUGUCAGCUCCUCACGACUCUGCUUGAAGCUGUAGUGCUGAAACUGGGACACCAGCUGAAUGCUCCUUUUGGACCUCCACUCCACUGCAGUCCUUCAAGGAAAAAGGCCACUUACAUCAUUAAAGGAUGUUCCUGA